RNAcentral lists this ribosomal RNA (578 nucleotides) under Salinibacterium sp. I14A-00941. RNAcentral's name for it is "bacterial SSU rRNA". It matches the Rfam family "Bacterial small subunit ribosomal RNA", at positions 95 to 687 of the family's 1533-position model. RNAcentral also lists the same sequence under 1 other name. The record is from RNAcentral. Lineage: Bacteria; Bacillati; Actinomycetota; Actinomycetes; Micrococcales; Microbacteriaceae.
GUGGCGAACGGGUGAGUAACACGUGAGUAACCUGCCCUUGACUCUGGAAUAAGCGUUGGAAACGACGUCUAAUACCGGAUACGAGCUUCAGCCGCAUGGCUAGGAGCUGGAAAGAAUUUCGGUCAAGGAUGGACUCGCGGCCUAUCAGGUAGUUGGUGAGGUAAUAGCUCACCAAGCCUACGACGGGUAGCCGGCCUGAGAGGGUGACCGGCCACACUGGAACUGAGACACGGUCCAGACUCCUACGGGAGGCAGCAGUGGGGAAUAUUGCACAAUGGGCGCAAGCCUGAUGCAGCAACGCCGCGUGAGGGACGACGGCCUUCGGGUUGUAAACCUCUUUUAGUAGGGAAGAAGCGAAAGUGACGGUACCUGCAGAAAAAGCACCGGCUAACUACGUGCCAGCAGCCGCGGUAAUACGUAGGGUGCAAGCGUUAUCCGGAAUUAUUGGGCGUAAAGAGCUCGUAGGCGGUUUGUCGCGUCUGCUGUGAAAACUGGGGGCUCAACCCCCAGCCUGCAGUGGGUACGGGCAGACUAGAGUGCGGUAGGGGAGAUUGGAAUUCCUGGUGUAGCGGUGGAAU